Molecule: transfer RNA, 85 nt
Filed under: Parcubacteria group bacterium ADurb.Bin247
Lineage: Bacteria
Description: tRNA-Leu
Rfam family: tRNA
About the family: Transfer RNA (tRNA) molecules are approximately 80 nucleotides in length. Their secondary structure includes four short double-helical elements and three loops (D, anti-codon, and T loops).
Source: RNAcentral
GCCCGGGUGGCGGAAUUGGCUUACGCGUACGACUCAAAAUCGUAUAGGAAUAAUCCUGUGUGGGUUCGAGUCCCACCCCGGGCAC